Delphinapterus leucas (beluga whale) is the source of this 4685-nucleotide non-coding RNA. The record is from RefSeq and is a predicted model, not a curated record. NCBI's taxonomy places the organism in Eukaryota, Metazoa, Chordata, Mammalia, Artiodactyla, Monodontidae.
GGUAGUUCUAUUUGUAGUUUUUUAAGGAACCUCCAUACUGGAAUAUCCAUUUCUGCGUUUCAUCUUCUGACCCUCAGGAAGUCCUCCUGCUUGGCUGUAGUGAGUCUAGUUUCUUUCCAGCAUUUCUCUCCGGAGGCGACGGCUGAAAGACCUCCUUUUCUGGCUCACGGGCCUCCCUCCAUGAGGAGAACCUUUCACCCUCUUCCUCACCCUCUGACCCUCCGAGGACCCUCGACCAGCCCCAAGUCGCCUAAAGGCCGGGACGCUGGGUUCUAGAACAUUGGUGAAUCAGCCAAUUCUCUUAGAUCGUCCCUGAAGGAAGGUUGGGAUAAAAUGAGAGCCGAUGGCGUGGGAGAGGCUGCUACUUCCAACAGUGUUCCUCGACUUUUUUUUUUUUUUUUUUUAAGCAUUUGCUAAAGCAGUUUAGCAAUUGAGAAUGUGCUUUGCUGACUUUUUUCUGCUGUAGACACUAAUCACCAUUUACUAGAGUUUUUGUUGUUUGUGUUUCGUUUUCUCCCUUUUACAUUUGGGUUUCAGUGAAGUAGUUCAAUCAUGUGGUUAAAAAAAAAAAUCAAGCAAUACAAAAUGAUCCAGUGUUGAAAGGUCCCUGCCCCACUCCUCCGAAACCCAAAAGGGGCUCCUUUACAUUAUGUACCCCUUCAACUAUUGCACAAGUUGUCAGUGACAAACCUUGCACGUGGUCUUAUCACAAUACUCACUCCCCACGUCUUCCUCAAUUUCCCUCCGCUCUCCUUUUUUUUAAAAAUCAAUCAGCCUUUUCUUUUGAUCAUCUCCUACAGAGUCUUUUUAGGCAUCCUUUAAUCACCCCCUUACAAUUUUAAUAAAACACAAAUACCACAUACUAUUUAUGUGCCGUAUGUAUCUGUGCUUUAUGUAUAUAAAAAGAAGAUGUUCCCUCCCGCCCCCAGGAACCAAUUUUCAGCCUCUUAGGGACAGUGUCGCCCCCACAGCAAAUGAUGCCUUAAGCAGAGCUUGAGUGAUGUCCGUGAGUAUGGUAACAGCUGAUGCAUUUGGGGUAAAGCCAAUCUGAAUUAGCAAACGAUCUGAAUUAUAGAAUAUCUUUGUUAUGUUUCGUCAGCCUCAGGAAAUGAACCGGCUACAGAAGUUAACUUUCCAGAUAUCGGGAACGUACGCCUUUAAGCACCCAAACAUGCAUCUUUUCAAGUGUUAGGUGCGGCAGACAUUUUGCAGUUUUCUUAUUCAAGAGAUACUAAGUAUAAUUUCACUCCUUAUAGAUGAUCUAGGGUCCUUACCAGAUUGCCCUAUGAUGGGCAUCCAGACACCGCUGAGAUGUGAAGAUUGUUUGCAGACUUAGGGACUGAAGGACCUGGGAGUGAUCUCUCCUACUGCGAGCCUCCUUCCAUGUACCGGCUGCGUGGUCUGCAGCAGUGUUUUGCCUUGAAUAGCACCCCGGCUCUCCUCCCUCGAAACUUGCUGCUAAGAUGCCGGGGUUCUUUGUGUGUAUGGUUGAAAAGAGUAAAUGAUUAGGAGGAAAGUCCCUGGGCUCUUGAUUCGAGAAAUGCAGUGCUUGGGCUUUGAGUGUUUGGGCUCAAGAGCAGGGCUCUGUCCCAGUACCUCCGACUCAGUCGAGACCUGGAAGAGGAGCUGCCAACACGUGGUCCUCCCAGUUCAAGUCCAAGUGCCCCCGCCCUCUGCCCAAUGCAGGGCCCAGGCAGAAAGCCCUGCCCCAGCCGCCGGGGGAGGGGAGGCAGCUUCAGAACUGGGCUCUCCAGGUGAUGCCCUCUGAGGCGCACGGGGCCCUCUCCGGGCUGCUUUAAGGUCCCGAUGAUGCCGUCUGUGUGUAAGAUGCUCUGCAGCUGACAGGGUAUUUUUCCUAAUUUAUCUUGUUUGAUUCCCAAAAACCUCUGUAAAAUGGGCUCAGGCUGUGUUAUGAUCUCUUCGAUGGGAGAAAUGUGGAAGAAUAAACGACAUAGCUCAGAAUCGCAUGCCGGUACCUGAACCUGUAUCGCUUUGAGGUGCUAUGUCUGACUCAAGUCUUUUAAACCUUUCAGGACGUCACCUUGUUGGAGAAUAUAUUUCACCAUUCAAAAGGAGCAGAUCACAGGCCCAUUUCAACUCAGGCUGGUGGUUCUAAACUGGUGGCUUCCAAAUGAUGAAAAUGCCAAAGUAGUUGGGGUUCUCCUGGGAGCCCUGGAUUCCAGAAAAUGGAGACGGUGCUUGGUUGCCCGGGAGAUGGGGGCCCAAGUGGACCACACUCGGGCUUUCCGCCAAGUCUGUGAGUUCACGGGUCUUCACCCUUGCCAAGGGUUUUGCACAUUCCUCCGGCCCUCUGGCCUUUCUAAGACAUGACUUAGAGGGAGAAGUAAACAGAAAAGCCAGACGCUCAGCCUCUAGACCCUUUGGAAUCUAGCGUUUGAAAGCCCUUGCUCUGUGGCCUUGAGUCUGGGGUUCCCCCUGGGGCCAUCUGAAAGCUAGAGUCGGGAGCAGAUCUCAUCAACUCUUGCCUUUGGCACCUUCAGAGCCCUUGGCCUGGCGAGAGACCCCAGGGACUGCAGGGCCCACGAGAAGAGAUUAAAUGAGGUUACCACUGGGUCCUUCCAUGGGGCACGUGAUGCCCCUGAAGAUUUCAAGGAUAGCUGGGAAUUCCAUACUUUUGGGGUGUUGCACUUUGGCGUGCUAGAAAUAAUUAUUGCCAUUGGUUUUUGCUUUUUCUGUACUUUCCUGUAUUUUGAAAAUUAAGAUACCCCUAUUGUCACUGGGUUUAGAUGUCACUGGUAUGAGUUGAACUCUUCAAGCCGAGGUGGUUCAUCUUUGCCAAAAAAAUCACCCUCUUGUCACUCAAAGCGCCUGUCACUGGAGUUCCCGGGGGAGCCAGGAGGCGUGCGUGACCUGGAAGGGGGCCGCUGGUGUGCAGGAAAGGCGUGGGUGCCUGAGUCGGUCGGGGACUGUCAUCCUCGGAGCCACGGCCUCAUAAACAGCUCUGGGGAAGAGGAAAGGAAGCCCCAAGGAGGUGACACAUGAUCUCACUCAGAGUCAAGUGCCACGGUGACCUUUAGAACUUUCCAUGAAAUCCAACACGGUAUUUUGCAACCAGCAGGAGAGCACCAGCAAAUGCGCUAGCGGGCGCGCAGCCCCCCUCUGCUCUGAGCACCGCCCCCCCAGGCCUCUUACGUAAUGGGGUUUUGUUUGGCUCGCGGCCUUUCAGGGGUCUGGUGCUUUUCAGGUACCGUCACGUGAUCUGUAAAGGUGACUGAGUGCAUUUGCAGUGGAUGUGUCUUCAUUUCCUUUUCAAACAUCCCAACCCAGAAGAGGCAGCCUGGGGUCCUAAAUGCCACUGGAUGGGGGACCGGCGACCCGGGCUGCCAGUGCAGCCCCGCCACUGGCUCCCGGGGGAUCUUGGGCAAAUCGUUUUGCUUCUCUGAACCUCCGUUGCUUUUGUUUCUUAAACUGAAUAGUGAGGGCUGGCCUCCCUACCUCACAGCCUGGUUGAGAUGAACCAAGGAAAGUGCUUUGGGAAGAGCCUGGAAACUCAGUACACACGGAAGGCCCUGGUCUCCACCGGGAUGCACCCUCCUGGACGCAGCCCUGGACGCUGGGGCGCAGUUGAGGGGUGUGUCUGGAGCCGGGGGUGAGAAGUGGGGAAGGUCUGCACUGGGUCUCAGCCGCUUCUCUCUCAUCCAGGCCUCUGGUCACCAUCUUGGUGAGAUUCUUUGCAGCAGCGCAUAACCUAGCACUCAGAGAGGCUUCCGUGACAAGGGAGGUUUGGGCCUUUAAAUUUUUUCAUUACUAUUACUUUUAUUAUUAUAUGAAAACUGGAAAUCCAGAGGCGGGGUGGACUUCAAGGACGAUUGCUCCUUGGGGUGUUCCGUGGGCCGCCCAGCCUGGGCUUCUGAUGGGAGGACAGUGGGCCUGUCUCCACGGCCCCUGGGUCCUCAGCCAUCAGGGCCUCCUGCUGCACAUGCUGGGGACGGGGCGGGUGGAGGGACCAACAGAUGCUGGGCAUCAACUGUGGUGUCCGCACGGACAGAUGACAAGUCCGGGGGUCUAGCAGGAAGCCAGCGAUAGCCUCCCGGCUCAGUGCCUGUCCCCCACCCCGUGCUGUGAGAACAGGCCUCCGGAUCACCAGCCGACAGCUGCCAACGGUUGAACUGGUUUACCCGCACCUGGGGUCACCGGGGCCUCCGGGAGAAGUGCAGCACGCCACGCGGAGGGAGUGGGCCGUUCCGUUCUUGCAUCUGAAGCAGCGGUCAGAUCCCCGCUGUCAGGGAGCUUUCCGUCUGGCUGGGGAGAAAAGAAACACAAAAUGAAACAAGCUCACAGCAUGCAGUGUCUCCAGGGAGUAUUCUUCAACACCAUUUCAUUUUUCGAGUUCUCCAGGGUGGUCUUAUAGUUGAAAACCCAGAAGAAGAACAAAAACGAAAUGCAAUUGGAGUUCCCUAAAAUUCCGCCCCUCCCCAGAUCCUGCAGACCUAGUGUCGAGGCAGCGAUCUGGGGAGCCUUGUUCCCUCAGCCUGGGGAAAAGUGCUUAAAACAUAAAGGCUUCUGCUGCCCCCACUACCUAUCCCAGGCUUCCGGGUGUAGCAGCCACCAAGAGAGUGACCUGUAAAGUAGGCUCCAGAAAUACAUUUUAAAACACCGUUCCAUCUUGGAAGCCACUAGUUCCUUCUUUUUCAGCUCUUCCCUUAAAAAAAAAAAAAAAAAAA